AGUGUAUUUGGAUUGUUUUCGGAACUUUCCUUGGUGGAUUUGUCUGUCUGUAGAGAUUGAUUGUGAAAGUAGUUUAUUUUUCUUGACGAUCGAAGGCCCGAAGCAAACCCAAGGUUCACAUUUCGAUCGAGCGAGAGAGAUUUGUCGGAAUUCAACGUGAUCUUUAUUGAUCGAUCAACAUGAGUUUUCUAUUCGGCAAGAGGAAGACACCUGCAGAGAUUGGUGAUGUGCCCCCACCCAAGUGAAGGAUAGUCGAUAUCUUUUGAAAGGAGCACUAAGGCUCUUUUGUUGUUUAUGAGCCACAACUAUGGAGCUUAUUUGUCUCGAGUUAAUGUUUCCUAAUUUUGUGUAAUUAAGGCCAUAGCCUUGAAAGAUGUAAGUCAUCAGGGUAUUUUUAUUUGCAUUUCUCUUACUCUUUGAACUAUUUGUGUAUUUAUUUUGUUUUUUUGGAAAGAUCCGAAUGUAAUGUGAACAUGUAUCACUUUUGAGAAGUUCAAGGAGGAAGAGAAGUACUUUUCAGGUA
Molecule: non-coding RNA, 523 nt
Organism: Camellia sinensis
Lineage: Eukaryota; Viridiplantae; Streptophyta; Magnoliopsida; Ericales; Theaceae
Source: RefSeq, a predicted model, not a curated record